ACCUUACACCGUUGGUUUUCCCUUCGGCUCACCAACAAACCUUUAACCCCUUGAUUCAAUCCCUUGAUUGAAUCAAGUUACAAGAUAUUAAAACAAAGAAUAAAAACAAAUCAAAGCUUCUUAAACAAGCAGAUAUGACAAUAUAAACAAAUAGAGUAAAGAGAAGCCCUCAAACGAGUUUUGAAGAUGGAGGAGCUCGGCUUCUUCUUUACUUGAUCCUCCUCUGAUUUGGCAUGAAGUAGAGGAUCCCCGAGGCAGCACACGGAUGGAGAGGAAGCUUUGGGAUUCACUUGGAUGCUCUUCUUCUCUCUAUUUCACUUUGGAUGGCCCUUUUGUGCUUGUGGGAGAUUUCCUUUGUAAUCUCUUUGAGAUCUCUUUCCUAGAUGAUCUCUCCCACUUCCAUGAG
This 406-nucleotide long non-coding RNA is filed under the name Phoenix dactylifera (date palm). RNAcentral's name for it is "long non-coding RNA (PDAC_LNC022406)". The record is from RNAcentral. Lineage: Eukaryota; Viridiplantae; Streptophyta; Magnoliopsida; Arecales; Arecaceae.